AGAGACAGCAGCAGCCGCGGUAAAACAGAGGAUGCAAGCGUUAUCCAGAAUGAUUGGGCGUAAAGCGUUUGUAGGUGGAUUCUCAAGUCCACCGUCAAAUCCCAGGGCUCAACCCUGGACAGGCGGUGAAAACUACCAAGAUGGAGUCGGUAGGGGCAGAGGGAGUUUCAAGUGGAGCAGUGAAAUGCAUUGAGAUCGGAAAGAACACCAACGGCGAAAGCACUCUGCUGGGCCGACACUGACACUGAGAGACGAAAGAUGGGGGAGUAAAUGGGAUUAGAGACCCGCGUAGUCCCUGUCUCUUAUACC
RNAcentral lists this ribosomal RNA (309 nucleotides) under uncultured bacterium. Its description in RNAcentral is "partial 16S ribosomal RNA". It matches the Rfam family "Bacterial small subunit ribosomal RNA", at positions 504 to 808 of the family's 1533-position model. The record is from RNAcentral.